Molecule: ribosomal RNA, 455 nt
Filed under: uncultured prokaryote
Description: partial 16S ribosomal RNA
Source: RNAcentral
CCCUACGGGGUGCAGCAGGCCUACAGGGAAGGUUAUCUUCGCAAAUCUCUUUGUGAUCCCCUUACCAGAACCAAUACUAAGGACAAUACUCCCGCGGUCAUCCACACGGAUAUUGUGCCCGGCAACCAUUUAAAAAUCAUUGCCAUACCCAAAGGCGGCGGCAGUGAAAACAUGGGCGCCGCCCGAAUGCUCACGCCUUCAGCGGGCAUUGACGGCAUUAAACAAUUUGUCCUGGAAACCGUGGAAAAAGCAGGGGCCAAUCCGUGCCCGCCAAUUAUCGUAGGUGUCGGUAUAGGCGGAUCGCUUGAUCAGGCCUGCAUCCUGGCGAAAAAAGCACUUUUAAGGAAACUGGGAAAAAAGAACCAGAAGGACAAACGGCUGGCGACGUUGGAAAAAGAACUUUUUGAAAACAUCAAUAAAACAGGCAUAGGUCCCGCCGGAAUUGGCGGGAGAGC